RNAcentral lists this ribosomal RNA (209 nucleotides) under uncultured bacterium. RNAcentral's name for it is "partial 16S ribosomal RNA". It matches the Rfam family "Bacterial small subunit ribosomal RNA", at positions 1292 to 1500 of the family's 1533-position model. The record is from RNAcentral.
UUCGGAUUGUAGGCUGCAACCCGCCUACAUGAAGUUGGAAUUGCUAGUAAUCGCAGAUCAGAAUGCUGCGGUGAAUACGUUCCCGGGCCUUGUACACACCGCCCGUCACACCAUGGGAGCCGGUAAUACCCGAAGUCAGUAGUCUAACCGCAAGGGGGACGCUGCCGAAGGUAGGAUUGGCGACUGGGGUGAAGUCGUAACAAGGUACC